RNAcentral lists this ribosomal RNA (434 nucleotides) under uncultured bacterium. Its description in RNAcentral is "partial 16S ribosomal RNA". It matches the Rfam family "Bacterial small subunit ribosomal RNA", at positions 29 to 507 of the family's 1533-position model. The record is from RNAcentral.
AGCGAACGCUGGCGGCAGGCCUAACACAUGCAAGUCGAACGAACCUUUCGGGGUUAUUGGCGGACGGGGGAGUAACACGUGGGAACGUGCCUUUAGGUUCGGAAUAACUCAGGGAAACUUGUGCUAAUACCGAAUGUGCCCUUCGGGGGAAAGAUUAAUCGCCUUUAGAGCGGCCCGCGUCUGAUUAGCUAGUUGGUUGAGGUAAUGGCUCACCAAGGCGACGAUCAGUAGCUGGUCUGAGAGGAUGAUCAGCCACAUUGGGACUGAGACACGGACCAAACUCCUACGGGAGGCAGCAGUGGGGAAUCUUGCGGAAUGGGCGAAAGCCUGACGCAGCCAUGCCGGGUGAAUGAUGAAGGUCUUAGGAUUGUAAAAUUCUUUCACCGGGGACGAUAAUGACGGUACCCGGAGAAGAAGCCCCGGCUAACUUCGUG